This is a non-coding RNA of Astyanax mexicanus (Mexican tetra), 607 nucleotides long. Lineage: Eukaryota; Metazoa; Chordata; Actinopteri; Characiformes; Acestrorhamphidae. The record is from the annotation of a RefSeq genome assembly.
GGUUUAUAUUCUCAGGGCAGUGCCAGUGAUUCCAUAGAGAGGUUCCACUUUGCAUUAUCAGCCCAUGAUGCUUCAGUGCUCUCUGUGUAUUUAUAGUCCUGUGAGUUUAACACUUCAUGACUGAGAGCUGCUGCUCCACAAACUUCACCCACAGCAUCCAUGACCCUGAUCACCAUCUUCAUCUGGACUCUGAUCUUCUGGACUCAAGAGUCCAGAGGUCAGGCCACCAUCGCUCAGACUCCUGCAGUUAAAUCUGCUCUUCCAGGAGAAACAGUCUCCAUCAGCUGUAAUGCUAAUGUUGCUGUCCACAACGACUGUAGCAGCAGAUAUGACUGUGUAUCCUGGUAUCUGCAGAAACCUGGAGAAGUUCCUAAACUCCUGAUUAAACUCGCAAACCAGUUACACUCAGGUAUUCCAGCUCGUUUCAGUGGCAGUGGAUCCAAGACUGACUUCACUCUGACCAUCAGUGGAGUCCAAACUGAAGAUACAGGAGAUUAUUACUGUCUGAUGGAUCAUUACAACACUUAUAAGCUUCAAUCUCUCACACAGUGAUAUUCAGUCGUACAAAACCCCCCUGCAGGUGCUGAGGGGGAGGAUGUGAAACAGC